UCCCUGGUGGUCCGGUGGCUAGGACUCCACACUCUUAAUGCAGAGGGCCUGGGUUCAAACCUCCGUCAGGGAA
RNAcentral lists this transfer RNA (73 nucleotides) under Bos taurus (domestic cattle). It matches the Rfam family "tRNA". Rfam says of the family: Transfer RNA (tRNA) molecules are approximately 80 nucleotides in length. Their secondary structure includes four short double-helical elements and three loops (D, anti-codon, and T loops). Further hydrogen bonds mediate the characteristic L-shaped molecular structure. tRNAs have two regions of fundamental functional importance: the anti-codon, which is responsible for specific mRNA codon recognition, and the 3' end, to which the tRNAs corresponding amino acid is attached (by aminoacyl-tRNA synthetases). tRNAs cope with the degeneracy of the genetic code in two manners: having more than one tRNA (with a specific anti-codon) for a particular amino acid; and 'wobble' base-pairing, i.e. permitting non-standard base-pairing at the 3rd anti-codon position. RNAcentral also lists the same sequence under 2 other names. Lineage: Eukaryota; Metazoa; Chordata; Mammalia; Artiodactyla; Bovidae. The record is from Rfam by way of RNAcentral.